This 75-nucleotide transfer RNA is filed under the name bacterium. Its description in RNAcentral is "tRNA-Gly". It matches the Rfam family "tRNA". From Rfam's summary of the family: Transfer RNA (tRNA) molecules are approximately 80 nucleotides in length. Their secondary structure includes four short double-helical elements and three loops (D, anti-codon, and T loops). The record is from RNAcentral. RNAcentral also lists the same sequence under 5 other names.
GCGGGCAUAGCUCAGUGGUAGAGCGUCUCGUUGCCAACGAGAAGGUCGAGGGUUCGAACCCCUUUGCCCGCUCCA